UCCCCCGCAACCGAGACGCGACGGGACGGAACGGGACGGGAUGGGGGGAAAUAGCCGAGUCACGGCCUAGAGCCCGUGACGGCAGGGCGGGGUAGCUACCGCCCGUCUCGGGCAGGGUACCUCGCGCUCUGUCAGGGACGGUCUCCAAUGCCAGAUGCCUUCCUCCUUUCAGCCUACUUGGAAUACAAAGGUCUAUGUAAAUAUACCCUCUGACUGCAGCUGCUGUGGAAAAAGAAGAAAUUAUAAGGAAGGUAAGAAACCUUCCUUUGUUUUGGUGAUUUCUCAUUAGAGGUUUCACUUUCUUAAGAAUCCCAUCUCAUCAUCCUACUUCUCCCA
RNAcentral lists this long non-coding RNA (336 nucleotides) under Camarhynchus parvulus. RNAcentral describes it as "lncRNA (ENSCPVG00000009621.2)". Lineage: Eukaryota; Metazoa; Chordata; Aves; Passeriformes; Thraupidae. The record is from RNAcentral.